GUUUUAUUGAUAAUAAUUUUAAGUCAAAUCUGCUCAAUGAAAUAUUUAAAUAGCUGCAGUAUUAAUAACUGUACAAAGGUAGCAUAAUAAUUAGUUUUUUAAUUAAAAACUAGAAUGAAUGAUUUAAUGAAAUAUAAUCUCUAUCAAAUUUAUUAUAUAAAUUUAUUAUUUAAAUAAAAAUAUUUAAAUAAAUAUUAAAGACGAGAAGACCCUAAAGAAUUUAAAUAAUUUUUUUUUAUUAAUUUAUAUUAAAAAAUUAUUUUAAUUGGGGAAAUUUUAAAAUUUAUUUAAUUUUUAAUUAAAUUUUAACAUAAAUUUUUGAAUAUAUAAUAUUUUUUAAAAAAAUAAAUAAAAUUACCUUAGGGAUAACAGCAUAAUUUUUUUUUAAAGUUCAAAUUUAUAAAAAAGUUUAU
Molecule: ribosomal RNA, 413 nt
Filed under: Pholetesor ornigis
Lineage: Eukaryota; Metazoa; Arthropoda; Insecta; Hymenoptera; Braconidae
Description: partial 16S large subunit ribosomal RNA
Source: RNAcentral